CAGCCGCCGCGGGAAUACAGAGGGUGCAAGCGUUAAUCGGAAUUACUGGGCGUAAAGCGCGCGUAGGUGGUUUGUUAAGUUGGAUGUGAAAGCCCCGGGCUCAACCUGGGAACUGCAUCCAAAACUGGCAAGCUAGAGUACGGUAGAGGGUGGUGGAAUUUCCUGUGUAGCGGUGAAAUGCGUAGAUAUAGGAAGGAACACCAGUGGCGAAGGCGACCACCUGGACUGAUACUGACACUGAGGUGCGAAAGCGUGGGGAGCAAACAGGAUUAGAGACCCCAGUAGUCCCUGUCUCUUAUAC
Molecule: ribosomal RNA, 301 nt
Filed under: uncultured bacterium
Lineage: Bacteria
Description: partial 16S ribosomal RNA
Rfam family: Bacterial small subunit ribosomal RNA
Source: RNAcentral